Molecule: RNA transcript, 282 nt
Organism: Vespa mandarinia (Asian giant hornet)
Lineage: Eukaryota; Metazoa; Arthropoda; Insecta; Hymenoptera; Vespidae
Gene name: histone-lysine N-methyltransferase SETMAR pseudogene
Source: RefSeq, a predicted model, not a curated record
UCGAGUUACUACCGCAAUGUCGCUUAAGUUAGUUGUUUUACUUUUUCUGCUAAUCAAAGUAGAAAGACUUAAAUAGAAUGAAGAAAAUAAUCUAAAAGGCAUCAAUGUAUUAUCACAUUAUUAUAAAUGUUUUAAGGAUUCAAGCAAAUAUUAAUAAUCAUAAAUUUAUCCAGUUACAGAAGUCAGGACAAUGAUGAAAUCAGAACCUAUUUUCAUGAAAUGAAAAAUGGCUUCAAAAAAGAAAUCUCCUGAAUCUAAGAGAGAGUUAUUGGAAUUUAAAAA